RNAcentral lists this ribosomal RNA (1452 nucleotides) under uncultured bacterium. Its description in RNAcentral is "bacterial SSU rRNA". It matches the Rfam family "Bacterial small subunit ribosomal RNA". The record is from RNAcentral.
GGCGGCAGGCCUAACACAUGCAAGUCGAACGGUAGCACUGAGGAGCUUGCUCCUUGGGUGACGAGUGGCGGACGGGUGAGUAAUGUCUGGGAAACUGCCCGAUGGAGGGGGAUAACUACUGGAAACGGUAGCUAAUACCGCAUAACGUCGCAAGACCAAAGAGGGGGACCUUCGGGCCUCUUGCCAUCGGAUGUGCCCAGAUGGGAUUAGCUAGUAGGUGGGGUAACGGCUCACCUAGGCGACGAUCCCUAGCUGGUCUGAGAGGAUGACCAGCCACACUGGAACUGAGACACGGUCCAGACUCCUACGGGAGGCAGCAGUGGGGAAUAUUGCACAAUGGGCGCAAGCCUGAUGCAGCCACGCCGCGUGUAUGAAGAAGGCCUUCGGGUUGUAAAGUACUUUCAGCGAGGAGGAAGGUGUUGUGGUUAAUAACCGCAGCAAUUGACGUUACUCGCAGAAGAAGCACCGGCUAACUCCGUGCCAGCAGCCGCGGUAAUACGGAGGGUGCAAGCGUUAAUCGGAAUUACUGGGCGUAAAGCGCACGCAGGCGGUCUGUCAAGUCGGAUGUGAAAUCCCCGGGCUCAACCUGGGAACUGCAUCCGAAACUGGCAGGCUAGAGUCUUGUAGAGGGGGGUAGAAUUCCAGGUGUAGCGGUGAAAUGCGUAGAGAUCUGGAGGAAUACCGGUGGCGAAGGCGGCCCCCUGGACAAAGACUGACGCUCAGGUGCGAAAGCGUGGGGAGCAAACAAAAUUAGAUACCCUGGUAGUCCACGCCGUAAACGAUGUCGACUUGGAGGUUGUGCCCUUGAGGCGUGGCUUCCGGAGCUAACGCGUUAAGUCGACCGCCUGGGGAGUACGGCCGCAAGGUUAAAACUCAAAUGAAUUGACGGGGGCCCGCACAAGCGGUGGAGCAUGUGGUUUAAUUCGAUGCAACGCGAAGAACCUUACCUACUCUUGACAUCCAGAGAACUUAGCAGAGAUGCUUUGGUGCCUUCGGGAACUCUGAGACAGGUGCUGCAUGGCUGUCGUCAGCUCGUGUUGUGAAAUGUUGGGUUAAGUCCCGCAACGAGCGCAACCCUUAUCCUUUGUUGCCAGCGGUUCGGCCGGGAACUCAAAGGAGACUGCCAGUGAUAAACUGGAGGAAGGUGGGGAUGACGUCAAGUCAUCAUGGCCCUUACGAGUAGGGCUACACACGUGCUACAAUGGCAUAUACAAAGAGAAGCGACCUCGCGAGAGCAAGCGGACCUCAUAAAGUAUGUCGUAGUCCGGAUUGGAGUCUGCAACUCGACUCCAUGAAGUCGGAAUCGCUAGUAAUCGUGGAUCAGAAUGCCACGGUGAAUACGUUCCCGGGCCUUGUACACACCGCCCGUCACACCAUGGGAGUGGGUUGCAAAAGAAGUAGGUAGCUUAACCUUCGGGAGGGCGCUUACCACUUUGUGAUUCAUGACUGGGG